This 1011-nucleotide long non-coding RNA is filed under the name Pan troglodytes (chimpanzee). RNAcentral describes it as "long non-coding RNA NONPTRT004060". The record is from RNAcentral. Lineage: Eukaryota; Metazoa; Chordata; Mammalia; Primates; Hominidae.
CUUGGGGAUGAGGCUGACCCAGGACUGUUCUUCCAUGAACUAGAACAAGUUCCUUAAGCUCAUCCAGCAUGCUCAUCUUUAAAAGACAAGUAAAAUGAAACAUGCACUAAAAAUUCUCUGGAAGGACACAUUAGAAACUAACGUCAGUGAUUCCAUUUUAGAAGACUGCACAGAUGGAGACAGAGAAGGGAAAGACACUUUUCACUUUACAGUUUGAUAUAUUUUCAUUUUUGAACCAGGUGGACAGGUCAUUUAUUGGCAAGUGACUCUUGUCAUCACGUCAUGAUUGAGGCAGUAGGCUAUUUGUACAGAUCACUUGAUUUAAGGGUGAUCCACCUGGGAUCUUCUCAUUCAUCAAUCCAUGGAAUCCUGCACCUUCUGAGAGAAAUUGAGUGGAUCCGGAGCCGGAGAUGUUGGCCUCAAGGUAUGAGCCAGCAACAUUCUGAGGGUUCUAGGAAUGGCUUCUCAUUAUGGAAGCACUUGGUUAAAUUAAACUACCACAGUGCUCAGAGUUCUAAUACAGUGAGCUCUGCAAUGUGCAUGAAUGCAGAUAAAUUACACAGGGCUAGAAGAAUGGACUUGGCACCUCAGACAAUUUCAGAUAAAUCAAAAUGUGCUCCUGGAAAAGGGAAAAAGAAACCCAUUAUUUGCAUAUCUGCCGAGGAAAAGAUACAACGGAAGACACAAAAUAAUGCUGAAAUAUGGAAUGGCUCAGGAAAGGAAGCCUCAAAGAAAAAGACAGACUAUUCCUCUAACAUUUUAUCUUUGGGUAAAAUGAAUGGUUUAAUAAAGCUUUCAAGGCAAAGAAUUUUGUUAGCUAAAAGCGAGAGUGGAGAAGGCGAAAUCACCACCAUUUACCACCAUCCCCUGCCAUGGCCUGUUAGCACAAAAAACCCUGGGGAAUCUGAGUUCAUAUCAGAAAAGUGGCUUUUUCAUAGCCCAGAUUAUAUUUCAAUAUCUCAGAAGUCUUUUUUGCAGAGAAGACUUCACAUUGAAACAAAACUGUUGAAG